This 29-nucleotide non-coding RNA is filed under the name Homo sapiens (human). The record is from RNAcentral. Lineage: Eukaryota; Metazoa; Chordata; Mammalia; Primates; Hominidae.
GAAUGCCUUAUCCACCAUCAUGGUAAUUC